AUAAUCCGGCGCAUUCAACUCAAUUACACAUGCGUUCCUAGUUUUGAUCUCAGCAUAUAGCACGACCUACUCUCUGUUCGGUAGUCUUCUAGCAUUGCCAGGCUUCCUCUCACCCCAUUGUACACGGCAUGUCUCUUUCAGAUAGCUUUUCCGAAAGAGCAUAUGGUCCAAAAUCUACUGCAACCGGCUUCCCCGUUGUCUAGGGGUAUCCCAAAUAGGGAUAACGUCCAGCUUAACAGCCUGGGACGAUUUCUCUUAACCAUCACACGAUUACUCAAAUAUGACCCAAGGCACCAUGCAUUGUACUUAAAUGCUUCAAUUAAAAUGGUGAAUCUUACAUUUUUCUUCGUAUUAGAAAUAUAUUGUAAAUUAGUUGUGUGUAGGUACACGAUCAACUCAACCCAGAAAAAUUGACAUUCUUCCUUUUUAAAAUCCCACUAUUUUAUAUAGUACCUAAAACUAUUUUCGGUGUCAAAAUCUGACACCUGGGAUUUUCUGGAUAAAUAUUGGAAAUUCACAAUUUUUGGAAUUAAAUACCAAAAAUAAAUCAGCACUCAAUUUGCAUAAUUUAACACUCAAUUGCAGAAUUUAACCACACCAUUAAAAUCAGCACGAAAUUCCGGUCACCAGCUAUCCCGGCCUAAUUUCUGAAAAAAUAAUUAAUAAUUAAAUAAUUUCUAAAAUUAAUUAAAUAACUCAAUUUAAUUUCCAAAAAUAUUAUAUUAGGCUAAAAUCACUAAAUUAAAUACCGUUAUGGACCCGAAAAAUUCCCGAAUUCUUCUAGAUAAAUAGUACAAAUUAUCUAGGCCUCACUUAAUCUAAUCUAACCACCUAACAUGCAUAAUUACAUAAUUAAAUCACUAAAUUAAUCUAACUAACCAACUAAUUCCUAAUUAAAUUAAACUAAACACCCAUUAAACAUGAUUAGCCUACUAAGAAGAGUUUAGUGCAUAAACUCACCGGUUUAUUACGAAAACCAGUUCACCACGACGACGGCGCGACGGCGGCUGAAAUCCGAAUUUUCGGCGGUGUCAGCGGACUUGGACCAGGCCUAAACUUGGCCUAACAAAUCUCAGCCCAAGCUGAGAUUUGUUCUUGAGUUGGGCUGGGCCUGAAGUUGGCUGAACGGGCUUUGAAUUUUCAUGGGCUUUGCUGGCUUCUUGGGCUGACUUCAAGUGAGCUGGAAUUGGGCCUCAAAAACUGGGCUGCUGCACUUGUGGGCUGGGUUGAGCCCAAAUGAUGGGCUGAGGAGCGGCUGAUUUCACGCGGCUGCUGGGCCUGCUUUGCUGAUCUCGUGGAAGAUGGACGAACAGCAGUCAAGCUUGGUGAGGGGAAACGCCGUUUGAUGGCUCGACGGCCAAGUGGCAGCGAAGUGGAGCUGCUCGGUCAACCAAGGAGCUUCUGUGGGCUUGCUGUUGACCAGGCGUGGCUGAAUGAAGACACAUAAAUGGCAGCUGCAGGCAGCGGAGAGAGAGAGAGAGACGGAUUCGGUGGUGAUGGCAGCUUCGGACGUGGGGUGAUGGGGCGGACGACGAAGCAACACCGAAGAAGGGAAAUGAUGGGGUCAACAAUUUGCUUCUGUGAGUGGCGUUGUUGACCACGGAAGGCCAGCUCGUGGACAAAUGGCGUGGGCGAGUGAAGAUGGAGGGUUGUUGCGGUGGAAGGAAAUGAAAAAAUAAUGAAAGGAACGGCAGAAGCUGAGAGAGAAGAGUUCGGUCUGCUUGGUGAGAGAGAGAGAGUGAUUCCGUUCCUUUGUUGUGAGGGAGAGAGCUCGAAGCAAAAAAGGGAG
RNAcentral lists this long non-coding RNA (1789 nucleotides) under Eucalyptus grandis. RNAcentral's name for it is "long non-coding RNA (EGRA_LNC004347)". The record is from RNAcentral. Lineage: Eukaryota; Viridiplantae; Streptophyta; Magnoliopsida; Myrtales; Myrtaceae.